CUACGGGGUGCUCCAGGCGAGAAAACUUUGCAAUGUGCGAAAGCACGACAAGGUUAAUCCGAGUGGUUUGUGCUAAACGAACCUUUUGACAGUCCUAGAAACACUGUUGAAUAAGGGGUGGGCAAGUUCUGGUGUCAGCCGCCGCGGUAAAACCAGCACCUCAAGUGGUCAGGAUGAUUAUUGGGCCUAAAGCAUCCGUAGCCGGCUCUGUAAGUUUUCGGUUAAAUCUGUACGCUCAACGUACAGGCUGCCGGGAAUACUGCAGAGCUAGGGAGUGGGAGAGGUAGACGGUACUCGGUAGGAAGGGGUAAAAUCCUUUGAUCUAUUGAUGACCACCUGUGGCGAAGGCGGUCUACCAGAACACGUCCGACGGUGAGGGAUGAAAGCUGGGGGAGCAAACCGGAUUAGAUACCCUGGUAGUC
Molecule: ribosomal RNA, 422 nt
Filed under: uncultured archaeon
Lineage: Archaea
Description: partial 16S ribosomal RNA
Rfam family: Archaeal small subunit ribosomal RNA
Source: RNAcentral